AACAGAACCAGUUCAGACAAGAUCAGGAACAUUUUAAGUUCAAGAUAUGAAAAAAGAAUUUGCUACCAAAAGAUUUCUGUGCUUGGUUUUAGGCACAAGCUUUAAUAUGCCUAAACAACAAGGAUGAAAUAACGUAGUCAGAUAAAGAAAUGCAAAAUACUCUGAACAUAAUGCUUCAGCCAGCAUCCGAGCCGAGGUGCUCUAAAGUUCUACAGUUGAACACUAAAUUAUUUAUAGGCAGGUUAAUCUCUUUGUAAAAUCAGGACAUGUAAGGGAGACUGAAAUGCAAACAGAUAGACCCUGAAAACCUGAAACUACAAAGAAGGUGCAGAGCCCUCUCAUACUAAUGGAAUGGCUUUGAUCUAGGUAUUAUGAUUGGAGACACCAGAGCUCCUAGAUCAAGACAUGGUUGCCCUAUUACUAACAUAACAAGUGAUUAUGAAAUCAAAUGAUGAAGAAUACAGAAUUAGUAGUAAUCAUAUACUUUGGAGAACUUUGAUGUUUAUGGGACUGGUGUCUUACCUCACAAGCGUCGAGGGAGGCAAGAUGGGCUUUUUUUUUCAUUAUAUGUAAUAUCAGUUCAAAUGAAAAUUUGUAGCUUUUGGGUCUCAAAACUGAAAAGCAUAUCUGUCUAUAAGCAACAAACCACAUCUUUACUCUUCGCUAAACCCAACUAGGAACCAAAAUCCCUAUAACCCAAUGCCCAAUAGGAGAAGGAAAAGAGAGGAGGUUGAGGAGCGGGGAAUCCUAUUAUUGAGUGCCAAUCGCCGAGGCUAAGACUACCNNNNNNNNNNNNNNNNNNNNCCUAUUAUUGAGUGCCAAUGCCAGGCUAAGAUACCAGUCCAACUACGAACUGUUGAUUAUCAAUAACAGGAUUAUUGACUGAAAACUGUCAGACUGUCGACCGUCAAUCACCUUCCUCCUUUCCUUUCCUCUCCUCUCCUCAUACAUAUAAGCCAUACUAGAGAGAACAAAGAUCCCUAUAACCCAAUGCCCAAUAGGAGAAGGAAAAGAGAGGAGGUUGAGGAGUGGGGAGUCCUAUUAUUGAGAGCCAACGCCAGGCUAAGAUACCAGUCCAACUACGAACUGUUGAUUAUCAAUAAUAGGAUUAUUGACUGCAAACUGUCAGACUGUCGACCGUCAAUCACCUUCCUAAUUUCCUUUCCUCUCCUCCCCUCUCAUCAUACAUAUAAGCCAUACUAGGGAGAACAAAGAUCCAUUUGUAGCAAUGCAAAAAUUAACCAAAUAUAAUAGUAACUAUAACACAUGAACUUUAGAACAUUGAUAAGGUAUUUCAGAGUUCAGAGAGUUGGACUUUAAAAGAUUUAUAAGAGAACUUAAGACAUGAUUCGACAUUAACUAGAGGGACCGAUCUUCCUGAGGAAUUCAAGGUUAUCCCCUUUCUUUUUAAAAAUCAAGCUUUCCGGGAAAAGAAAAAAUCACUAGGAACUAUAAUA
This 1457-nucleotide long non-coding RNA is filed under the name Musa acuminata (dwarf banana). RNAcentral describes it as "long non-coding RNA (MACU_LNC004766)". The record is from RNAcentral. Lineage: Eukaryota; Viridiplantae; Streptophyta; Magnoliopsida; Zingiberales; Musaceae.